This 253-nucleotide ribosomal RNA is filed under the name uncultured bacterium. Its description in RNAcentral is "partial 16S ribosomal RNA". It matches the Rfam family "Bacterial small subunit ribosomal RNA", at positions 524 to 776 of the family's 1533-position model. The record is from RNAcentral.
UACGAAGGGGGCUAGCGUUGUUCGGAUUUACUGGGCGUAAAGCGCACGUAGGCGGAUUGUUAAGUCGGGGGUGAAAUCCUGGAGCUCAACUCCAGAAUUGCCUUCGAUACUGGCUUUCUAGAGGCUGGAAGAGGUUAGUGGAAUUCCCAGUGUAGAGGUGAAAUUCGUAGAUAUCAUCAAGAAUACCGAUUGCGAAGGCAGUUUACUAAGCUUUAACUGACACUGAGGCACGAAAGUGUGGGGAUCAAACAGG